Molecule: small RNA, 127 nt
Filed under: Marmota monax (woodchuck)
Lineage: Eukaryota; Metazoa; Chordata; Mammalia; Rodentia; Sciuridae
Source: RNAcentral
GCCAGGCCCAGUGCUGCACACCUGUAAUCCCAAUGACUCAGGAGGCUGAGGCAGGAGGAUCUCGAGUUCAAAGCUAGCCUCAGCAAUUUAUUGAGGCUCUAAGCAACUCAGUGAGACCCUGUCUCUA